This 457-nucleotide long non-coding RNA is filed under the name Felis catus (domestic cat). RNAcentral describes it as "lncRNA (ENSFCAG00000045848.2)". Lineage: Eukaryota; Metazoa; Chordata; Mammalia; Carnivora; Felidae. The record is from RNAcentral.
ACCUAAGGCAUCUUUGUGAAUAAAAUGCCUAUGAACAACAAUGUUGGGAAUUACAUCUGGUCAAUAUGCACUCUUUGUGGAACUAUGAGAAAGGUUCUUCCUCAGCAGUGAACUGCUGUAGGUGGUUUCAAGCAAUAUUUUUGCAAUUUUAAAGUCGAAAACUUUUACAUUAUGAAUACUAAAUGGUCAAGAACUAAACACGAAGGGAUGAAAAAAGGAGUAGCAGAUGGGAAGGAUGUGAAGCCAACCAUACUUAAGGAGCUGAAGCCAAUUAGAAAGUGGAAAGCUUACUUGUAUAUGAAGAUUUUAAAAACUCUGUGUUUACCUGGACUGGGCACUCAUUUCACAUAGAGAGCAAAAGUAAGUUAAUCACAAAUGAAUGUUCAUUUUAAGACUAGAACCUAGUCAAUACUUUUAGGUUAAUAAAGAACUGUAUAUAUAAAGAUUCUGUAUUAGA